AUAGCUAUCUUCUGAUUGUUUCUUAAAAUCAAGUGUAGUAUCUGUUCUUAUCAGUUUAAUAUCUGAUACGUCCUCUAUCCGAGGACAAUAUAUUAAAUGGAUUUUUGGAGCAGGGAGAUGGAAUAGGAGCUUGCUCCGUCCACUCCACGCAUCGACCUGGUAUUGCAGUACAUCCAGGAACGGUGCACCUUCC
Small nuclear RNA from Neogale vison (American mink), 193 nucleotides. Its record names the gene U2. It matches the Rfam family "U2 spliceosomal RNA". Rfam says of the family: U2 is a small nuclear RNA (snRNA) component of the spliceosome (involved in pre-mRNA splicing). Complementary binding between U2 snRNA (in an area lying towards the 5' end but 3' to hairpin I) and the branchpoint sequence (BPS) of the intron results the bulging out of an unpaired adenosine, on the BPS, which initiates a nucleophilic attack at the intronic 5' splice site, thus starting the first of two transesterification reactions that mediate splicing. NCBI's taxonomy places the organism in Eukaryota, Metazoa, Chordata, Mammalia, Carnivora, Mustelidae. The record is from Ensembl.